This 36-nucleotide non-coding RNA is filed under the name unclassified sequences. RNAcentral describes it as "abiF RNA". It matches the Rfam family "abiF RNA". The record is from Rfam by way of RNAcentral.
CCCGUCACGCCUCUCAACAAUGCGCACCAGACGGGC